Molecule: ribosomal RNA, 127 nt
Filed under: Chaetoceros curvisetus
Lineage: Eukaryota; Bacillariophyta; Thalassiosirophyceae; Chaetocerotales; Chaetocerotaceae
Description: partial Bacterial large subunit ribosomal RNA
Rfam family: Bacterial large subunit ribosomal RNA
Source: RNAcentral
GAGAAGGGCGUUUGGUGGAUGCCUUGGCAGUAAGAGGCGAUGAAGGACGUGAUACUCUGCGAUAAGCUAUGGGGAGCCGAGAAUAGGCUUUGAUCCAUGGAUUUCCGAAUGGGGCAACCCACCAAAA